RNAcentral lists this transfer RNA (70 nucleotides) under Marmota monax (woodchuck). RNAcentral's name for it is "tRNA.Ala". The record is from RNAcentral. Lineage: Eukaryota; Metazoa; Chordata; Mammalia; Rodentia; Sciuridae.
GAGCUGGAGCUCAGUGGUAGAGUGCUUGCUGAGCACAUGUGAGGCCCUGGGUUCGAUUCUCAGCACCUCA